GGAGAGGUCGCAUAGUGGUCUAGUGCACCACCUUGGAAAGGUGGCAUACUGUAAAAGGUAUCGGGGGUUCAAAUCCCCCCCUCUCCG
This 87-nucleotide transfer RNA is filed under the name Candidatus Moraniibacteriota bacterium. RNAcentral describes it as "tRNA-Ser". It matches the Rfam family "tRNA". Rfam says of the family: Transfer RNA (tRNA) molecules are approximately 80 nucleotides in length. Their secondary structure includes four short double-helical elements and three loops (D, anti-codon, and T loops). Further hydrogen bonds mediate the characteristic L-shaped molecular structure. tRNAs have two regions of fundamental functional importance: the anti-codon, which is responsible for specific mRNA codon recognition, and the 3' end, to which the tRNAs corresponding amino acid is attached (by aminoacyl-tRNA synthetases). tRNAs cope with the degeneracy of the genetic code in two manners: having more than one tRNA (with a specific anti-codon) for a particular amino acid; and 'wobble' base-pairing, i.e. permitting non-standard base-pairing at the 3rd anti-codon position. The record is from RNAcentral. Lineage: Bacteria; Candidatus Moraniibacteriota.